Molecule: ribosomal RNA, 468 nt
Filed under: uncultured bacterium
Lineage: Bacteria
Description: partial 16S ribosomal RNA
Rfam family: Bacterial small subunit ribosomal RNA
Source: RNAcentral
GACGAACGCUGGCGGCGUGCUUAACACAUGCAAGUCGAACGGAAAGGCCCUGCUUUUGUGGGGUGCUCGAGUGGCGAACGGGUGAGUAACACGUGAGUAACCUGCCCUUGACUUUGGGAUAACUUCAGGAAACUGGGGCUAAUACCGGAUAGGAGCUCCUGCUGCAUGGUGGGGGUUGGAAAGUUUCGGCGGUUGGGGAUGGACGCGCGGCUUAUCAGCUUGUUGGUGGGGUAGUGGCUUACCAAGGCUUUGACGGGUAGCCGGCCUGAGAGGGUGACCGGCCACAUUGGGACUGAGAUACGGCCCAGACUCCUACGGGAGGCAGCAGUGGGGAAUAUUGCACAAUGGGCGGAAGCCUGAUGCAGAAACGCCGCGUGCGGGAUGACGGCCUUCGGGUUGUAAACCGCUUUCGCCUGUGACGAAGCGUGAGUGACAGUAAUGGGUAAAGAAGCACCGGCUAACUACGUG